This 424-nucleotide ribosomal RNA is filed under the name uncultured prokaryote. RNAcentral's name for it is "bacterial SSU rRNA". It matches the Rfam family "Bacterial small subunit ribosomal RNA", at positions 355 to 796 of the family's 1533-position model. The record is from RNAcentral.
UGGGGAAUAUUGGACAAUGGGGGAAACCCUGAUCCAGCAAUGCCGCGUGAGUGAUGAAGGCCUUAGGGUUGUAAAGCUCUUUUACCAGGGAUGAUAAUGACAGUACCUGGAGAAUAAGCUCCGGCUAACUCCGUGCCAGCAGCCGCGGUAAUACGGAGGGAGCUAGCGUUGUUCGGAAUUACUGGGCGUAAAGCGCGCGUAGGCGGUUACUCAAGUCAGGGGUGAAAGCCCGGGGCUCAACCCCGGAACGGCAUUUGAUACUGCCAGGCUGGAGGACGGAAGAGGAGGGUGGAAUAUCCAGUGUAGAGGUGAAAUUCGUAGAUAUUGGAUGGAACACCGGUGGCGAAAGCGGCUCUCUGGUCCGAACCUGACGCUGAGGCGCGAAAGCGUGGGGAGCAAACAGGAUUAGAUACCCCUGUAGUCC